This 253-nucleotide ribosomal RNA is filed under the name uncultured bacterium. RNAcentral's name for it is "partial 16S ribosomal RNA". It matches the Rfam family "Bacterial small subunit ribosomal RNA", at positions 524 to 776 of the family's 1533-position model. The record is from RNAcentral.
UACGGAGGGGGCGAGCGUUGUUCGGAAUCACUGGGUGUAAAGGGUGCGUAGGCGGUGCGUUAAGUCUGAUGUGAAAGCCCUGGGCUCAACUCAGGAAUUGCAUUGGAAACUGACGUGCUGGAGUACGGGAGAGGGAAGCGGAAUUCCUGGUGUAGCGGUGAAAUGCGUAGAUACCAGGAGGAACACCGGUGGCGAAGGCGGUUUCCUGGCCCAGUACUGACGCUGAGGCACGAAAGCGUGGGGAGCGAACGGG